GUUUCAACAACGGAUCUCUUGGCUCUCGCAUCGAUGAAGAACGCAGCAUCCGUAGGUGAACCUGCGGACCUGUAACUCCUUUGCUCUUAACGCA
Molecule: ribosomal RNA, 94 nt
Filed under: uncultured hymenomycete
Lineage: Eukaryota; Fungi; Basidiomycota
Description: partial 5.8S ribosomal RNA
Source: RNAcentral